This 695-nucleotide ribosomal RNA is filed under the name Salmonella enterica subsp. enterica serovar Mikawasima. Its description in RNAcentral is "partial 23S ribosomal RNA". The stretch from base 74 to 695 matches the Rfam family "Bacterial large subunit ribosomal RNA", at positions 566 to 1190 of the family's 2925-position model. Lineage: Bacteria; Pseudomonadati; Pseudomonadota; Gammaproteobacteria; Enterobacterales; Enterobacteriaceae. The record is from RNAcentral.
UUCUCUGGUGUUGAAGGCCCUGCAAAGCAGCAUCGCGGUGGCGGAGCGUCGUUUGCGACGCCCAACACACAAAACAAGCGGUGAAUGCUUUGGGGUGGGGUGACUGCGUACCUUUUGUAUAAUGGGUCAGCGACUUAUAUUCUGUAGCAAGGUUAACCGUAUAGGGGAGCCGUAGGGAAACCGAGUCUUAACCGGGCGUUAAGUUGCAGGGUAUAGACCCGAAACCCGGUGAUCUAGCCAUGGGCAGGUUGAAGGUUGGGUAACACUAACUGGAGGACCGAACCGACUAAUGUUGAAAAAUUAGCGGAUGACCUGUGGCUGGGGGUGAAAGGCCAAUCAAACCGGGAGAUAGCUGGUUCUCCCCGAAAGCUAUUUAGGUAGCGCCUCGUGAAUUCAUCUCCGGGGGUAGAGCACUGUUUCGGCUAGGGGGCCAUCCCGGCUUACCAACCCGAUGCAAACUGCGAAUACCGGAGAAUGUUAUCACGGGAGACACACGGCGGGUGCUAACGUCCGUCGUGAAGAGGGAAACAACCCAGACCGCCAGCUAAGGUCCCAAAGUCAUGGUUAAGUGGGAAACGAUGUGGGAAGGCCCAGACAGCCAGGAUGUUGGCUUAGAAGCAGCCAUCAUUUAAAGAAAGCGUAAUAGCUCACUGGUCGAGUCGGCCUGCGCGGAAGAUGUAACGGGGCUAAACCAU